Cyprinus carpio (common carp) is the source of this 1343-nucleotide long non-coding RNA. The record is from Ensembl. Lineage: Eukaryota; Metazoa; Chordata; Actinopteri; Cypriniformes; Cyprinidae.
AAACCAGCUGCCCUUUCCCUGGAACAAAGCCGUAAAGUUUACGGAUUCGGUUUUGAUCAGAGAUACCGAAAUGUCAGAGUCAAUAGUGCACAACUGUAUUGCAACAGCGUCGUUGGGCUUUUAUUUACAACUCAGACAAGGUUUCCAGUGAAUACCACUUGCAUUUCUGUACAAAAUGAGGCUCCUGUUUGCCUUCAAAGCAGUUUCAAGACAAAUGAUGGACUGUGCCAGUCUUUAAGCUACUGUCAGAUAACUGUAAACACUGAGGGACAUAAGGGACGUGUUUCUAAUAUACUGUAUGCCAAUUUGACUUUCUUCAUCUCCCAAGGACAGACAACCACCUGCUGAAAAAAUCCUAUCUUAUGCACAUGUUUAUGGACACCUGGACUCGGGAGACAAGCCUGAUUGAUGGCUGAGAGCUCUGAGGAAAAAGCUGCCCUACCCACAGACACGCCUCUGGAUCCAUUUAUCACAAUCACUCACAGAAAGAUGGAGGCAUCGGCAAAAAAAAAAAAAGUGAGAUGGUGCUCUACGGACAAAGCUGCGACCGGUCAGCAGGCGUGCAUCACGGAGGGAGACUGGGAGAUAAUUGGACAGUUGGUGGGAGAGAACACUCCACCGGAGAGACAGUUUGGACAGGGAACACGGAUGGACAGAUGGAUGGAGAGGAAAAAUAGCAGAAGAAGAGUAUCAGAAGUGCAGGAAGACUGCCCCGUCACUCCUAGGAGUCUCUGUUAUUUCAGAACUGCUGUAACACUCGUGGAUCUGAGACCAGGGUUUUAUUUAGCACAAGAUCAGUGAUGGACGGACAGACUCCAGCGAGACAGAUGGGCAGAUGUGGCUUCACAGCACUCAACGACUGCAAACAACAAAUUGUCCUUACCCUCUCCAAGCUCAGCUGGAGGGACGUUGCUGAUACCCAUGAUGCUUUAGGUUACUACUGAGUGACAGAUGCUGUAACACGGGCAGAGGUUCAGUGAACUGGAUUAGCAUUUGAAGCUUCCCUCUCUGUUUUAAUUAACAGAAACCUCUGAUAAUAUGUCAAAACCCUCAGCAAUGACCGCAAGCUCACGAAAAGAUUAAAUCAGCCGUAAUGUUACUCUGACUAUAGGAUAAACGUACACACAUGAAAACAAAUUCUGUUUACUGAGUGACUGUCUGAUGUCAGAAUUGCAGGAUCCUUUGGCUCUGCUUGUGCUGUUUUACUGUGCCGCAUCUGAAAUCAAGCACAUCGAAGGGUCAAAAUGUGCAGCAGAACCAAGCACGCGAUCUGACAGCCGUGAGAAACAUACUAAACGCUCUCACAGACAGACAGACCCUUCCUCACCUCCUCAAAACCCUCU